This 253-nucleotide ribosomal RNA is filed under the name uncultured bacterium. RNAcentral's name for it is "partial 16S ribosomal RNA". It matches the Rfam family "Bacterial small subunit ribosomal RNA", at positions 524 to 776 of the family's 1533-position model. The record is from RNAcentral.
UACGGGGGGGGCAAGCGUUGUUCGGAAUUACUGGGCGUAAAGAGCUCGUAGGCGGUCUGUCGCGUCUGCUGUGAAAAUCCAGGGCUCAACCCUGGACCUGCAGUGGGUACGGGCAGACUAGAGUGCGGUAGGGGAGAUCGGAAUUCCUGGUGUAGCGGUGAAAUGCGCAGAUAUCAGGAGGAACACCGGUGGCGAAGGCGGAUCUCUGGGCCGUAACUGACGCUGAGGAGCGAAAGCAUGGGGAGCGAACAGG